UCCGAGUUGACCCCGGCAGUCUCCUACGAGUCCCCGGCCGAACCGCUGGCAACAUAGGACAAGGGUUGCGCUCGUUGCGGGACUUAACCCAACAUCUCACGACACGAGCUGACGACAGCCAUGCAGCACCUGUGCAAGCUCCCCUUGCGAGGUCGUCCCACUUUCAUGGUCCUACCACUUGCAUAUCAAGGCCAGGUAAGGUUCUUCGCGUUGCAUCGAAUUAAGCCACAUACUCCACCGCUUGUGCAGGCCCCCGUCAAUUUCUUUGAGUUUUAAUCUUGCGACCGUACUUCCCAGGCGGCACGUUUAUCGCGUUAGCUUCGCCACAAAAGGGGUCGAUACCCGCUACACCAAGCAUCCAUCGUUUACAGCUAGGACUAC
Molecule: unclassified non-coding RNA, 381 nt
Filed under: uncultured Verrucomicrobiae bacterium
Lineage: Bacteria; Pseudomonadati; Verrucomicrobiota; Verrucomicrobiia
Description: contains 16S-23S intergenic spacer region
Source: RNAcentral